Molecule: long non-coding RNA, 1843 nt
Organism: Thalassophryne amazonica
Lineage: Eukaryota; Metazoa; Chordata; Actinopteri; Batrachoidiformes; Batrachoididae
Exons: 4
Source: RefSeq, a predicted model, not a curated record
GAGAUCAGAAGCUGCUGGUCUGCAGACCUGCAGCAGGCUGACUGCGGUGUGCUGCUGUGGGGGUACAUGGGUCUGUUUUACUGCAGAUACAGCCCUGCUCACAUCCAGAAUACCGCCUCAGCAUGGAGAAAGAAAACAACAAACCACCUGGAACAUUGCUGCGUCCUGCAGAGGCCCAAACUACCUCCACAUCAUGAUUUAAUGAUGGCUGCAGUUAAUUUUCAUCCUUAAACACAGCAGGCAUGGGACACGGACUUUGCCCUGGAGCCAUCUGCAGACUUGAUGACACUUCAUCGGUUUGAAUCCUGUGAGGAUCUAAACGGCAAAUGCCAACGCAGGUUAUGUGAUGGCUGGAUGAUAUUGUUUUUUAUUUUAUUUAUUGUUAAAAUUUUAUAAGAUCACAUGGCAUAAAUGUGGUACAGCUGAAUCAUUACAUAAAAAAAGAGAAAAAUCAGUAACUUAGGCUUAAUAGAAAUCAAUGAGGAAAAGUUGGGAGGACAAAUGGUUUCUGUCCCACUUUCUGCUGCUUUGUGUUAUGUGUUCCUCCCCAGUUACACUGAAGAAGCUGAUGGAGGUGCACGAUGAACCUCAUCGUAGUCCUGCACCACCAGAGACUCUGCCCGCUGCUGUGAUACCAAACAGAACGGCAGAAAAAUCUCAUUUGAAGCGUUGUUUCCACUGCUGCCAAAGAGGAUGAAGACUAAAAAUUCUCCAAACUGAGUGAGAGACGAAGGAGAUGACGCUGACGUCUGCUGCCUUUUUCUUCCUUUUGUGUUUUGUUUGUGACAGUCUGUAUGAACAGUUCUUAUCUCAGAUCUUUUUUCUUAAGUAGAAUCACUCGAUAAAUAACAAAGUGUGAACCUUUUGGUCUAUAUAUAACUUCAUCUGCUGCCACACUAAUUUUUUUUAUCUUCAUCACGUAUGUGUUGUGCUGUGUUGUGCACAGUUUGCUCACUUCAUCAGACCUUUUAAAUGAACUGAAAAUGGUUUGUUUUGUGUCUUUUCAGUGAUAUUCUGUCCUUCCAAAGUUUUGGACAGUAUGUCAUUUAUUAUCUUGCUUGUUUUUCCAAAACAUCUUAAAUUUUACAAACCAGUACUGCACAGUUUGUGUCAUGUAAUGUUUGUGUUCGCGUGAGUGUGUGCAUGUGUGGAGUAUAUGUGCUGCAUUUAUGUGGGUUUGUUAAGGUGUGUGCACGUGCAUUUGUGUCUGUCUGAUACAAACCCUUUAUGAUGUGUACAGGUGUGAUUGGAUCCUGUUGGCCUUAAGCUAUUUUCACUUUAGAGAGAUUUUCUGCCACAGCUGCAGUGGUUUUUAUUUUUUAACCAGACGUGGGGCAAAAUAUUGACUUAUGAUUGUUAGCAUUUGUCGCAACCUCAGUGAACUACCCAUUUAAAUCAUGUGUUGUCUUUUAAAUCCUCACAAGAUUGCAUUAUAUAGGUACAAUGUAAAGCAGUUAUACUGUACAGAUUUUCACUGAGGUGACAUUAAAAACACAACUGCACUUUAUAGUAUACUAGACACAUGAAAGCUAACAUCUUUUAUUUAUUAUCAGUUUGGUCUUACUAAGAAACCAAUUUGUUAUUUCAGAAUGCUGAAAAUUCCAUCUUACACUGGCAGUGCACUAAUCUGCAUUAAAUGUCAGUUAAUGUGCAGUUAAAGUCCAGUAACUUAGAACUUUUGAGGCUGUGUACAUCUGCGGUGCACGCAGCAUUCCUUUGUGCAAGACUUUUGCAAAAUUCCACAUACACAAUAACAUGGGAGACACACUUCCAAUAAUCCGAUAACAAAUAAUUAUCGAAGAUAAUGUUUUCAUUAUCGGAUUAUCGUUUUACAUAACUUUAA